GAUGAACGCUAGCGACAGGCUUAACACAUGCAAGUCGAGGGGCAGCAGGGGAGUAGCAAUACUCCCGCUGGCGACCGGCGCACGGGUGAGUAACACGUAUGCAACCUGCCCUUGUCAGGGGGAUAAGCGGAAGAAAUUCCGUCUAAUACCGCAUAACGCUGCGGGGAGACAUCUCCCUGCAGCCAAAGAUUUAUCGGACAAGGAUGGGCAUGCGGCGCAUUAGCUUGUUGGCGGGGUAACGGCCCACCAAGGCGACGAUGCGUAGGGGUUCUGAGAGGAAGGUCCCCCACACUGGUACUGAGACACGGACCAGACUCCUACGGGAGGCAGCAGUGAGGAAUAUUGGUCAAUGGCCGGGAGGCUGAACCAGCCAAGUCGCGUGAGGGAAGACGGUCCUAUGGAUUGUAAACCUCUUUUGUCAGGGAGCAAAAACUGCCACGCGUGGCAGGAUGAGAGUACCUGAAGAAAAAGCAUCGGCUAACUCCGUGCCAGCAGCCGCGGUAAUACGGAGGAUGCGAGCGUUAUCCGGAUUUAUUGGGUUUAAAGGGUGCGUAGGCGGACAGUUAAGUCAGCGGUAAAAUUGAGAGGCUCAACCUCUUCCCGCCGUUGAAACUGAUUGUCUUGAGUGGGCGAGAAGUAUGCGGAAUGCGUGGUGUAGCGGUGAAAUGCAUAGAUAUCACGCAGAACUCCGAUUGCGAAGGCAGCAUACCGGCGCCCAACUGACGCUGAAGCACGAAAGCGUGGGUAUCGAACAGGAUUAGAUACCCUGGUAGUCCACGCAGUAAACGAUGAAUACUAAUUGUUCGGGUCGAGUGAGAUCUGAGUGAUACAGCGAAAGCGUUAAGUAUUCCACCUGGGGAGUACGCCGGCAACGGUGAAACUCAAAGGAAUUGACGGGGGCCCGCACAAGCGGAGGAACAUGUGGUUUAAUUCGAUGAUACGCGAGGAACCUUACCCGGGCCCAAACGACACAGGAAUGAUCUGAGAAAUCAGGCAGUCCUUCGGGACCUGUGUCGAGGUGCUGCAUGGUUGUCGUCAGCUCGUGCCGUGAGGUGUCGGCUUAAGUGCCAUAACGAGCGCAACCCCCAUCGACAGUUGCCAGCAGGUCAAGCUGGGCACUCUGUCGAGACUGCCGGCGCAAGCUGUGAGGAAGGCGGGGAUGACGUCAAAUCAGCACGGCCCUUACGUCCGGGGCGACACACGUGUUACAAUGGCAGGUACAGCGGGAAGCCACCUGGCGACAGGGAGCGGAACCCGAAAGCCUGUCUCAGUUCGGAUUGGAGUCUGCAACUCGACUCCAUGAAGCUGGAUUCGCUAGUAAUCGCGCAUCAGCCACGGCGCGGUGAAUACGUUCCCGGGCCU
This 1362-nucleotide ribosomal RNA is filed under the name uncultured bacterium. RNAcentral's name for it is "16S ribosomal RNA". It matches the Rfam family "Bacterial small subunit ribosomal RNA", at positions 28 to 1381 of the family's 1533-position model. The record is from RNAcentral.